RNAcentral lists this ribosomal RNA (253 nucleotides) under uncultured bacterium. RNAcentral's name for it is "partial 16S ribosomal RNA". It matches the Rfam family "Bacterial small subunit ribosomal RNA", at positions 524 to 776 of the family's 1533-position model. The record is from RNAcentral.
UACGUAGGUGGCAAGCGUUGUCCGGAAUUAUUGGGCGUAAAGCGCGCGCAGGCGGUCCUUUAAGUCUGAUGUGAAAGCCCACGGCUCAACCGUGGAGGGUCAUUGGAAACUGGGGGACUUGAGUACAGAAGAGAAGAGUGGAAUUCCACGUGUAGCGGUGAAAUGCGUAGAGAUGUGGAGGAACACCAGUAGCGAAGGCGGCACUCUGGGCCGGUACUGACGCUGAGGAGCGAAAGCGUGGGGAGCAAACAGG